UACGUAGGGGGCGAGCGUUGUCCGGAAUCAUUGGGCGUAAAGAGCGUGUAGGCGGUCCGGUAAGUCCGCUGUGAAAGUCGGGGGCUCAACCCUCGAAUGCCGGUGGAUACUGUCGGGCUAGAGUACGGAAGAGGCGAGUGGAAUUCCUGGUGUAGCGGUGAAAUGCGCAGAUAUCAGGAGGAACACCUAUUGCGAAGGCAGCUCGCUGGGACGUAACUGACGCUGAGACGCGAAAGCGUGGGGAGCAAACAGG
RNAcentral lists this ribosomal RNA (253 nucleotides) under uncultured bacterium. Its description in RNAcentral is "partial 16S ribosomal RNA". It matches the Rfam family "Bacterial small subunit ribosomal RNA", at positions 524 to 776 of the family's 1533-position model. The record is from RNAcentral.